UCCUAGGCCCACUCCUUUUUGCAUAUAAUAGGGACUCAAGUAUUAUGAAUCUCCUACCUUCAGGCUGCCUACUGCACAGGACACUCUGACACGCUGGUUGCCUGUAGUGUCCUUCUGCCUAUGACUGGUGCCUAUUUAAGACUGCUGUUAUUCCCUUGUCCUCAACCUAAACUGGCUGGAGACCCAUUUGCCUAGCCCAUAAUAAUAAUAAAAAUCACCUCUCCAAAUGGAAAAUGCUCCACUCCAUCACUAGCCGUUCCUGGGAAGCCUCCAAGUAGUGUGCAGAAAAGAGACCUGGAUGAGCUGCGGGUUCCUGCUGUGCUCAGAUCAUGAUACUGGGAACAACAAAUCAGCCAUGCUUCAGUUUUUCCGAAAGUAUCCAUCUAGACUACAAGAGAAAUAGAACAAGCGGUAAGAUCGCCUAUGUAAUUUAAGGGGAGGUGGAUUGGUGGCCCAGAGUGGGAACAGCUGGAUCACAUGGGGGAAACAUGAGAUGACAUAGAGGGACAUAGAGGAACGACCAGAGAUGACAUAGAUAGUUCAGACUCAUUGUUUCCAGACUUACGUAGGAUGGAUAGAUGAGCUCUGAUGAGAAAGAUUCUUGCCAUUAGAUAGCUUCUGUUUCAAUUCUGGUCUGAUGAUGACACAAAAAUCCUGAUGGAUACUCUUGGUGGCCCCA
Non-coding RNA from Ictidomys tridecemlineatus (thirteen-lined ground squirrel), 679 nucleotides. Lineage: Eukaryota; Metazoa; Chordata; Mammalia; Rodentia; Sciuridae. The record is from RefSeq and is a predicted model, not a curated record.